GAUGAACGCUGGCGGCGUGCCUAAUACAUGCAAGUCGAGCGAACGGACGAGAAGCUUUCUUCUCUGAUGUUAGCGGCGGACGGGUGAGUAACACGUGGAUAACCUACCUAUAAGACUUGGAUAACUUCGGGAAACCGGAGCUAAUACCGGAUAAUAUUUUGAACCGCAUUGUUCAAAAGUUAAAGAAGGUCUUGAUGUCACUUAUAGAUGGAUCCGCGCUGCAUUAGCUAGUUGGUAAGGUAACGGCUUACCAAGGCAACGAUGCAUAGCCGACCUGAGAGGGUGAUCGGCCACACUGGAACUGAGACACGGUCCAGACUCCUACGGGAGGCAGCAGUAGGGAAUCUUCCGCAAUGGGCGAAAGCCUGACGGAGCAACGCCGCGUGAGUGAUGAAGGUCUUCGGAUCGUAAAACUCUGUUAUUAGGGAAGAACAUAUGUGUAAGUAACUGUGCACAUCUUGACGGUACCUAAUCAGAAAGCCACGGCUAACUACGUG
RNAcentral lists this ribosomal RNA (497 nucleotides) under uncultured bacterium. Its description in RNAcentral is "partial 16S ribosomal RNA". It matches the Rfam family "Bacterial small subunit ribosomal RNA", at positions 28 to 507 of the family's 1533-position model. The record is from RNAcentral.